GAUGAACGCUGGCGGCGUGCCUAAUACAUGCAAGUCGAGCAAACAGAUGAGGAGCUUGCUCCUCUGACGUUAGCGGCGGACGGGUGAGUAACACGUGGAUAACCUACCUAUAAGACUGGGAUAACUUCGGGAAACCGGAGCUAAUACCGGAUAAUAUAUUGAACCGCAUGGUUCAAUAGUGAAAGACGGUUUUGCUGUCACUUAUAGAUGGAUCCGCGCCGCAUUAGCUAGUUGGUAAGGUAACGGCUUACCAAGGCAACGAUGCGUAGCCGACCUGAGAGGGUGAUCGGCCACACUGGAACUGAGACACGGUCCAGACUCCUACGGGAGGCAGCAGUAGGGAAUCUUCCGCAAUGGGCGAAAGCCUGACGGAGCAACGCCGCGUGAGUGAUGAAGGUCUUCGGAUCGUAAAACUCUGUUAUUAGGGAAGAACAAAUGUGUAAGUAACUAUGCACGUCUCGACGGUACCUAAUCAGAAAGCCACGGCUAACUACGUG
This 497-nucleotide ribosomal RNA is filed under the name uncultured bacterium. Its description in RNAcentral is "partial 16S ribosomal RNA". It matches the Rfam family "Bacterial small subunit ribosomal RNA", at positions 28 to 507 of the family's 1533-position model. The record is from RNAcentral.